GGGGAAUUUUCCGCAAUGGGCGAAAGCCUGACGGAGCAAUACCGCGUGAGGGAGGAAGGCUCUUGGGUCGUAAACCUCUUUUCUCAGGGAAGAAGCAAUGACGGUACCUGAGGAAUCAGCAUCGGCUAACUCCGUGCCAGCAGCCGCGGUAAUACGGAGGAUGCAAGCGUUAUCCGGAAUGAUUGGGCGUAAAGCGUCCGCAGGUGGCACAUCAAGUCUGCUGUCAAAGACCCCAGCUUAACUGGGAAGAGGCGGUGGAAACUGGUGAGCUAGAGAGCAAUAGGGGUAGAGGGAAUUCCCGGUGUAGCGGUGAAAUGCGUAGAGAUCGGGAAGAACACCAGUGGCGAAAGCGCUCUACUAGGUUGACUCUGACACUGAGGGACGAAAGCUAGGGGAGCGAAUGGGAUUAGAUACCCCAGUAGUCCUAGCCGUAAACGAUGGAUACUAGGCGUUUCUCGUAUCGACCCGAGGAGUGCCGGAGCCAACGCGUUAAGUAUCCCGCCUGGGGAGUACGCACGCAAGUGUGAAACUCAAAGGAAUUGACGGGGGCCCGCACAAGCGGUGGAGUAUGUGGUUUAAUUCGAUGCAACGCGAAGAACCUUACCAGGGCUUGACAUGUCUGGAACCCAGGGGAAACUUUGGGGUGCCGAAAGGAGCCAGAACACAGGUGGUGCAUGGCUGUCGUCAGCUCGUGUCGUGAGAUGUUGGGUUAAGUCCCGCAACGAGCGCAACCCUCGUGCUUAGUUGCCAUCAUUAAGUUGGGCACUCUAGGCAGACUGCCGGUGACAAACCGGAGGAAGGUGGGGAUGACGUCAAGUCAGCAUGCCCCUUACGUCCUGGGCGACACACGUACUACAAUGCCAUCGACAACGGGAAGCCAACCAGCGAUGGGGAGCAAAGCCCAGCAAACGAUGGCUCAGUUCAGAUCGCAGGCUGCAACUCGCCUGCGUGAAGGCGGAAUCGCUAGUAAUCGCCGGUCAGCCAUACGGCGGUGAAUACGUUCCCGGGCCUUGUACACACCGCCCGUCACACCAUGGAAGUUGGCCACGCCCGAAGUCAUUACUCUAACCAUUCGUGGAGGAGGAUGCCGAAGGCAGGGCUGAUGACUGGGGUGAAGUCGUAACAAGGUAGCCGUACCGGAAGGUGUGGCUGGAUCACCUCCUUUACAGGGAGACCAACUUCAAGUCGUAAGUCGUUGAAGUCGCAAGUCGAGAGUGAAAACCAGACAGGUGACGGAAACAUCAAAAAGACUGCAACUUGAGGACAUCCCGAGGUCGGACAACACGAACAAAAAAACUCGAGUGAGGCAACGCUUUCAAACUAAUACUGGUUUGGUGGAAGACACAGCACCAGUAGGGGCUAUUAGCUCAGGUGGUUAGAGCGCACCCCUGAUAAGGGUGAGGUCCCUGGUUCGAGUCCAGGAUGGCCCACCUUCAAAAAUUCGCAAUUGGUCAAUUCGCAAUGCGCAAUUGAAGCUCAAAAUUGCGUUUGCCGAGUCAAGUGGAGAAAAAGUCAGCACUGUCUGCUGGUCGGACAACUGCUGGAAGUUUUCCAGCCAAAGCACCUUGAAAACUGCAUAGAGAAUCGAGAAAAGAAGUCAGGUAGAAACCAAGAAUUUGCGUAAUUUACUGGUCAAGCGAAACACAGCUGACGGCGGAUACCUAGGCACACAGAG
Molecule: unclassified non-coding RNA, 1675 nt
Filed under: Chroococcidiopsis sp. N14-MA7
Lineage: Bacteria; Bacillati; Cyanobacteriota; Cyanophyceae; Chroococcidiopsidales; Chroococcidiopsidaceae
Description: bacterial SSU rRNA
Rfam family: Bacterial small subunit ribosomal RNA (bases 1-1165)
Source: RNAcentral